CGCAUCUGUGCAUGCAGCAUAUCAAUAAGCGGAGGAAAGGAAACUAACAAGGAUUCCCUUAGUAACGGCGAGUGAAGCGGGAAGAGCUCAAAUUUGAAAUCUUCAAGGUUUUACCUUGACGAAUUGUAGUUUAAAGAAGUGUUUUCUGUUGAAGUUUUGGUAAAAGUUCUUUGGAAUAGGACAUCAUAGAGGGUGAGAAUCCCGUAUUUGACCAUUAUUUUCAGCUGUGUGAUACACUUUCAAAGAGUCGGAUUGUUUGGGAAUGCAGUCCAAAAUGGGUGGUAAAUUUCAUCUAAAGCUAAAUAUUGGCGAGAGACCGAUAGCGAACAAGUACCGUGAGGGAAAGAUGAAAAGAACUUUGAAAAGAGAGUUAAACAGUACGUGAAAUUGUCAAAAGGGAAGCGUUUGACACCAGUGUUGUUUUCUCGAAAAUCAAUUAAAAAGAGUUAGAUUUUGUUGUGUAUUGACCUUAACAGCUUGCAUUUCAAUUUUCUUGCUUUUUUUAAUGCACUUUUCGUUUAACAAGUCAACAUCAGUUUCUUUUGUUGUAAAAAGGUCAUUGGAAGGUGGCUUUCUUUUCGGAGAAAGUGUUUAUAGCCUUUGACUCCUGCAAUCGGAGAGACUGAGGUCUGCAGCGUAGAUCCUUCGGGGUUAGAUACAUUUGUGCUAAGUUAUAGCUUUUUAUAGACAACUUGUUGACUAUGAUUAGUCUUGUAGCUUACUCGCUUGCGCUAUUUUACCUACGCUUAGGAUGUUGAUGUGAUACUGCGAGCA
RNAcentral lists this ribosomal RNA (774 nucleotides) under uncultured Neocallimastigales. RNAcentral describes it as "partial large subunit ribosomal RNA". It matches the Rfam family "Eukaryotic large subunit ribosomal RNA", at positions 26 to 629 of the family's 3401-position model. Lineage: Eukaryota; Fungi; Neocallimastigomycota; Neocallimastigomycetes; Neocallimastigales. The record is from RNAcentral.